UGAUAAAUGAUAGGACGUCGACGAUGAUAACAAAAAUAACGCUAAGUUUUUCUAUUAUUCGAGUACUUAGGUAGAAGAGGAGUUUCUAACAUAAUAAUAUCGUAUUCAAUAUUAGUUUGUAUUUUAUUCUAUUCCAAUUAUUGCUCAUUGUCAACUGGUAAUUUUAACAAUAAUUGUAUUAACGCAGCAUUUACUUAAAAUGUUGCGAAAAGUAUAUUCCUAUUUUAUAGGCUUUUGCAGGGAUUAACUAUAUUACUCAGUUGUAUUCUUAUUGUUCCGUUUCUUUCAUAAAAUAUAGCACAUCUAGGCAUUUAGCUCAUAGGAAUUAAGUUGAUAAUAUUUAAAUAAAAUCGUCACUUUGUAUGGUCGACCAAUAAAAGUGCAAAAGCAGACACUUUGUAUGGUCGGGUAUAAAAGUACAUUGCUGAUUGCGGAUACUUUGUACAGUUGGGUAAAAAUGUUCAAUUCUGACCGCAGACAGUUUGUACUAUUAUAUACAUAAAACAUAAGUAGUGUAAAUACAAGUUAUAUAUCUAAGUAGUAAGUAUAAAUAAUGUCAAUUAUUAAAAUGUAAAAAUUAAAAAUUAAAACAAAAAGUAAAUUAAAAGAACAAUAGUCAUAAUAAUCAGUUUUUUAACAAACUGGUUAGAUAACAGCCAAAUAUUACUUGGUGCUAUAAUAUAUUUUUAAUUAAUUUAGGAACUUGAUGACCUAAAAAUCUUGAAAUUAUCAAAAUAAUCAAACAUGAUUAUAAAUUAUAAUAAUUGUAUUACAUUAUUACCAAAUGUUAUGUUAAAAAGUAAAUUAAAAAUGUGUACAGUAUGGCGAAAUGACAAGUAAAAAUUACUUUUGAUAGGUAAUAAUUCUCUCCUAUUUUGAAUGUAUAAGAUAAUUAAAUCUACCAAAUAAUAUUUAAGCUUAAUAACAUGGUCUGUUCAUGACUUCUGACAUGUUUAUAUUAAAUAUAAUAUAUUUUAUGUAUAUUAGUAUAAAGUGUCCGUGUUCUGCAAUUUAAAGUUUUACCUGAUCGUGCAAAGUGUCCGCAUUCUGCAAUCUACCUUUUUACCUGACCGUACAAAUUGUCCGGGUUAUGCAUUUUAAACAAUCAACCGUACAAAGUGUCAUUUUACCUAAAUAUUUGUAUGCUUACAUAUUAUAACAAAAUAAUUGGUCGUUGCUAUUUGUUUCCAUUAAAUUAUUACUUCCUCUCACUGUUUCCACUGUUAAUAUUUUAAUAUUUAACUAUUUAAAAUAACUAUUUAGAUAAUUAAAAUGUUGAGAUACAGAGGAAAUAAAUUAACACUUAAUACCUAUUGUAAAAUAAUUGGAUUCAUUUCCUAAGGUUUAAGAAUAAAUUUAUGAACCAUCUGUUUAUAGUAAUGUUACACUGACAGUUAGGAUUAUGGUUAUUGAUUUCUGAAAUACAAUAUGUUUUACAAGAACAUUAUAUAUACAGAUUUGUACCAGACACGGACUAUGAAUCUAAACUUCCAAUUAACAUAGAUAUUACUGUUACAUCAACUUGUGAUAGUUAGGUUAGGUUUGCUGAUAUUGUUGAUACAACAGGACAAAAUAUGAUGUUAUUUGGAGAAUUAAAAACUGAUGAUACUUGGUGGGAAAUGACAAAAGAAUUGACACAACAUUUCGAAAAAAUGCGUGUAUUCAAUGCAUAUUUAAGAGAAGAAUAUAAUUCAAUGAAUGACAUAUUAUGGAUUUUUGAUAAUUAUAAUACAUUAAAAAAUAAAAUAUCUGUUAAUAGGUACUACAGGAAAUCUAUUUGUUUGCUUCAAACUUGCUUCAAGCUUCUGGAAUUAGAUGAUCAUAUUCAAACAGUUGUCCGUGAUAUUGGAAAACAUGGGAUGGAUAUAGAAUAUGAGUUGAGUAUGGAAAUUGGAAGCCCUGUGCAUGGACUAUUGAUCGAUUCUUAGCUUUCCGAAGAACUGUAUUCCUUAUAUUGGCGUGCAAAAAUUAUUUCUGAAGCUUCCUUCUUUAUACGCAAUAGAGAAUGUCAAAUGAAUAUACAAUAUAAAUCUCAUUAAAAAAAAAUUAUUCUUUAUAUGCAUAAAUUUAACGACUAUUUCAAUUGUCUUGAUAGUGCUGGAGGACAAUGUGCCAUAGACUAAUCAAAAGUGAAACUAGACAAGACAUCUUCGGGUAAGAUUUGUGUGUCCAUGUAUUACAACAAAACUGCAUGCAUCAGGAUGAAGUUGAAGUAUCGUAGUCUUGACGGUUAUUGUAAUAACUUGAAACGUUCCUCCUCGGGAAAAGCAUCCACGGCUCUAUAAACGUUUGCUCUUAAUAACUAUAUGGAUAGUUUUAAUGAAGUUUUCGAAGAUUCUUUUUCGUCUUACAAACCAAGUCCUAGAAAGCUGAGGGUUGAAUUUGUCAAAGACGAGCACUCACCAGAUUACUUCAAAACUAUGGCUAUGGCGUACUGGACGAUUUUUGUAGGCCAUGAUCAAUCUCACACGGAAAUUUCUAGAAUGAUGAAUAGUAAUAAGUCCUUGAGCUGUUGUUCAAAUAGCCGGAAGGAGCUCAUGCCUCGAGACAUACACCUCGAGUUGUGCUUGCAAGUAGUGAUACCGGGUAAAGAUCCAUUUUUCAGAAACCAUAUUCGUUUUAUGAACUACGGUCGUUCGGUGCCAGCUGUGUGUUCCGAUUGUACUUUUGACCCAAGGAACAAAAUACAACACAACCUUGUACUGUAAUAAGCUUCCAAACCAAUAAAAACAAUUGAUAAAAAAUUCUAAAAAAAAAUGUUGGAUUCAAAUACCAAAGUAUACUGAAGCAUGUAAUAUACUAGUAAUUGAACAAAUUGUCUUCAUUAAAUGUUUAUGAAGUGCAGUUCUUAGCCCUAAUACUAAACUCAAUAAAUGUGUUGUAAUGGACAUUAAUGUUAUGGAAUACCUAUAAAUACCAACAUGUUCCUACACAUCUCAAAUAAAAAUUUAUAUACGGAAGGCCGAAUGAUCAACGCAAGUCUUUCACUAAAGGAACAUUACAACCGACCAACUGCAGGUUUACUAUUAAAUUACAUGGAUCAGCUUGUCAGAGGGCUAUCUACGCAGAAUACACAAAAAAUUGAUAUGCUAUUUACUAAAACGCUUACAAAUUACUUAUACAGUGUUUAUCCAAACCACGCGUUUGGAAUGGACAUCGUUAUUAUUAGAGAACAGUUUAUAAGAACUAGAAUGGCAGAUAGAUAUUUUUACGAUUUACCAAAUAUAUUCAAUGAAUAUCAACUGACAGGAAUCAGAAAAGUGACGCUUGCCAGAAUCUUUUGUGAUAACAGCAUUAAUGUCAGAAUGAUGCAGAAAAAAGUAUUUUUGAUACCUGCAAUGGCUGAUUUGCAACUCUGUAAUUCCCAAUUAAUUCCAAAAGUCAACAUCAAUCACUGGUCAGAGAUGGUCGAUACAUUUCAAAAAUAACUUUAAAUUUAAUAAUCAAUAAUCAGUGGAAGUAUCUUCACUGGAUGGUUUGUUCCCUCAAGUAACUCAAGCCAUUGCGUUUAAUUUUAUUUAAAAAACCUACAUUAGGCUUAUUGUACUUUUUUUUAGUAUAGAUUGUGUAAGUUAUAGAUUAAAAAAAAUAAUCAAUAAUCAGCCUUUAAUCUAACCUUAUUUUCAUUUUACCUAUAUAUCUUGUUUAUAAUAAAUAUUCUUAAAUUAAUUAUGAGUCUAUAAUUUGCUAUGUUACACACUUGUAAGACGGAGACAACAAAUUUCACUGUAAUGACCCAUUAAGGCCAAUAAAAAAAAAAAUUAUUUUUGUCUGGCGCAGAAAAAUUAUAGUCAGACCAAAAUACAAUCUUGAUAAAUUUUAGGUAUGCAUACUCCGCAACAUCUUAAAUGACGGCUCUGCUUUGGCCCGAAUACUGGUUUUUAUGUUUUGUAUGAAUAAAUAUUAGCUCAACAAUAUUUAAUUUUUAAACAUAAUUAAAAAUUGAAUAAAUCUUAAAA
Molecule: RNA transcript, 3959 nt
Organism: Metopolophium dirhodum (rose-grain aphid)
Lineage: Eukaryota; Metazoa; Arthropoda; Insecta; Hemiptera; Aphididae
Gene name: peroxidasin homolog pxn-1-like
Exons: 13
Source: RefSeq, a predicted model, not a curated record